Molecule: microRNA precursor, 94 nt
Filed under: Pan troglodytes (chimpanzee)
Lineage: Eukaryota; Metazoa; Chordata; Mammalia; Primates; Hominidae
Source: RNAcentral
UAUUCAAGGAUAUUUGAGGAGAGGUUAUCCGUGUUAUGUUCGCUUCAUUCAUCAUGAAUAAUACAUGGUUAACCUCUUUUUGAAUAUCAGACUC